GACAGAGGGUGCAAACGUUGUUCGGAUUUACUGGGCGUAAAGCGCGUGUAGGCGGCUUCGUAAGUUGGAUGUGAAAUCCCACGGCUCAACCGUGGACGUGCAUCCAAAACUACGUCGCUGGAGUCUCGGAGAGGAAGGUGGAAUGCUUGGUGUAGAGGUGAAAUUCGUAGAUAUCGAGAGGAACACCUGCGGCGAAGGCGGGUUGCUGGGCUGAUACUGACGCUGAUGCGCGAAAGCCAGGGGAGCGAACGGG
Molecule: ribosomal RNA, 253 nt
Filed under: uncultured bacterium
Lineage: Bacteria
Description: partial 16S ribosomal RNA
Rfam family: Bacterial small subunit ribosomal RNA
Source: RNAcentral